UUUCCGUAGGUGAACCUGCGGAAGGAUCAUUACUGAGUGAGGGCCCCUCGGGGUCCAACCUCCCACCCGUGUUUAACGAACCUUGUUGCUUCGGCGGGCCCGCCUCACGGCCGCCGGGGGGCAUCUGCCCCCGGGCCCGCGCCCGCCGAAGCCACCUGUGAACGCUGUCUGAAGUUUGCAGUCUGAGACAAUUAUUAAAUUAAUUAAAACUUUCAACAACGGAUCUCUUGGUUCCG
This 236-nucleotide unclassified non-coding RNA is filed under the name plant metagenome. RNAcentral describes it as "partial contains small subunit ribosomal RNA, internal transcribed spacer 1, and 5.8S ribosomal RNA". The record is from RNAcentral.